GCUGUUACUAUGAUCUUUGACUCCUGAUCUCGAAUCGGAAGUACGAUACUACCACUUUAGUGGCAUUGAUUAAGGGGACGAACUAGUCUAAGAUCUCCCAGAUGACAACAGUACAGAGCUGUUGCCGGUGGCGGCACUGGAGGUGGCCAUGGCAAAGGGCCGAGGAGAAGUUAGUGCUUCCACUGAGGAGGCUGACACAAAUGUUUGUGUGCAGCUUGGCACGGUGCAAAGAGGGAACGGCGGUACUGACGGAUGGUGGCAUGAGCAUGGUGGGUGGACGAUUAGCGUGCCAAAGGUGGAG
This 301-nucleotide long non-coding RNA is filed under the name Elaeis guineensis (African oil palm). Its description in RNAcentral is "long non-coding RNA (EGUI_LNC018293)". The record is from RNAcentral. Lineage: Eukaryota; Viridiplantae; Streptophyta; Magnoliopsida; Arecales; Arecaceae.